Molecule: ribosomal RNA, 487 nt
Filed under: uncultured soil bacterium
Lineage: Bacteria
Description: bacterial SSU rRNA
Rfam family: Bacterial small subunit ribosomal RNA
Source: RNAcentral
AGAUUGAACGCUGGCGGCAUGCCUUACACAUGCAAGUCGAACGGUAACAGCACUUCGGUGGCUGACGAGUGGCGAACGGGUGAGUAAUACAUCGGAACGUGCCCGAUCGUGGGGGAUAACUACUCGAAAGAGUGGCUAAUACCGCAUACGAUCUACGGAUGAAAGCGGGGGAUCGCAAGACCUCGCGCGGACGGAGCGGCCGAUGGCAGAUUAGGUAGCUGGUGGGAUAAAAGCUUACCAAGCCGACGAUCUGUAGCUGGUCUGAGAGGACGACCAGCCACACUGGAACUGAGACACGGUCCAGACUCCUACGGGAGGCAGCAGUGGGGAAUAUUGGACAAGUGGGCGCAAGCCUGAUCCAGCCAUACCGCGUGGGUGAAGAAGGCCUUGGUUGUAAGUCCCGUUUUGUGGAAAGAAUCCUGCCGUUAAUAACCGAGUAGGAUGACGUACCAAAGAAUAAGCACCGACUAACUCGUGCCAGCAGCCG